This 270-nucleotide ribosomal RNA is filed under the name uncultured prokaryote. RNAcentral's name for it is "partial 16S ribosomal RNA". It matches the Rfam family "Bacterial small subunit ribosomal RNA", at positions 524 to 794 of the family's 1533-position model. The record is from RNAcentral.
UACGUAGGGGCUAGCGUUAUCCGGAAUUACUGGGCGUUAAAGGGUGCGUAGGCGGUCUUUCAAGCCAGAAGUGAAAGGCUACGGCUCAACCGUAGUAAGCUCUUGAAACUGUAAGACUUGAGUGCAGGAGAGGAGAGUGGAAUUCCUAGUGUAGCGGUGAAAUGCGUAGAGAUUAGGAAGAACACCAGUGGCGAAGGCGAUUCUCUGGACUGUAACUGACGCUGAGGCUCGAAAGCGUGGGGAGCAAACAGGAUUAGAUACCCUGGUAGU